Molecule: ribosomal RNA, 301 nt
Filed under: uncultured bacterium
Lineage: Bacteria
Description: partial 16S ribosomal RNA
Rfam family: Bacterial small subunit ribosomal RNA
Source: RNAcentral
CAGCAGCCGCGGUAAAACAGAGGGUGCGAGCGUUAAUCGGAUUUACUGGGCGUAAAGCGUGCGUAGGCGGCUUUUUAAGUCGGAUGUGGAAUCCCUGAGCUUAACUUAGGAAUUGCAUUCGAUACUGGGAAGCUAGAGUAUGGGAGAGGAUGGUAGAAUUCCAGGUGUAGCGGUGAAAUGCGUAGAGAUCUGGAGGAAUACCGAUGGCGAAGGCAGCCAUCUGGCCUAAUACUGACGCUGAGGUACGAAAGCAUGGGGAGCAAACAGGAUUAGAUACCCCAGUAGUCCCUGUCUCUUAUAC